Long non-coding RNA from Passer montanus (Eurasian tree sparrow), 3918 nucleotides. RefSeq lists it as uncharacterized. The transcript has 3 exons. Lineage: Eukaryota; Metazoa; Chordata; Aves; Passeriformes; Passeridae. The record is from RefSeq and is a predicted model, not a curated record.
CACCAGGUCAUCUAGAACUCCGCACCUGAGCCUCCGGAGCGCCGGGUAGCGGCUGCAGGUAGGGAGGGAAAGACUCUGAGGCGGUACAGCCUGACAGCCUAACCCGUGUCCCAACAUCACCAGGUCAUCUAGAACUCCGCACCUGAGCCGCCGGAUCGCGGGGUAACGGCUGCAGCCUUAGGUUCCAGGUGCCGGCUGCUUUGCUCAGGCCUGCUCCAGGCUCACCCGGGGAAAAGCAUCCAGGAGGAGUGGCUGGGAUGCUCCAGGCCGGCAGGCAGUGGAGAGCUGGACACGAGAAAAAAGAAAACAUGCAGAAGGAGGGAAAAACAAAGAAGCCUCAGUGGAAAUGAAAGAGCAUGGACUGUGGAACAUUAAGGUUAGUGUGUUUUAUGUAUUCAUUCACAUUACUUCUUCCCUUUAUUAAAUUUCCCAGGCAACUUUACACUCCAUCAAUUUUGAACUGUAACUAAUGUGACAUACAUGUUGUCAGAGCCUCACUGCUGCUGGGAACUCCCAGUCCUGCCAUAACCCCAUUCUUCUCACAGCUCCCCACUGACAGGUUAAUCUUUCCCACCAUUGCCCUUUAGGCAUGACCCAUUGCCUUCUUCAUUUCCCCCCUAUUUUCACUGCUGGGACAAUGUUCUGCUUCAGCAAACUGUUUAAACAAGCUUGAGUGAGUAAGAGGUUUCCAAGUUAACACUUGGGAGGUGCAGCAUGGGACAAUUGGUUUAUAAGGGAAACAGCCUAAUGCCUGAAAUAGCCAUGGGCACUGCUAUGAGACAUCCCAGAUAAUUAAGAGUGAUCUGCAAGGCAACAGAGGAAUGGUGCUGCUCCACAGAAUGAGUGAUCUAAGGUCACAUCCUCCCUGAUUUUCCAGCACUGCUGUGAGGGAGAAGGAAAUAUUUAGCUUGAGCUGAUCAUGCAGAAAAAGAAAACAGCAAAGGAAAUGACAUUUCUAGGAGGCACCAGUGGGAGGAGCUGGAUCACAGGGUGAAGUAUCACUUCACUCACUCACAGACAGGCUGGUCCUGCUGACACGUGCCCAAUGGUACAGUCUCAAUGCCAAAAAAAGGCUGCUGCACUCCAAACAUGGGGACGUGUGUGCCACAUGAAGUGAGAAUUCAAGGAGCCAAAGGGCCAGCCAAGUGCCAAAGAUGGACUGCAAGGUACCAACAGAAAGAAAAGCCCAGGGUGCUCACAAUGAGAGGGGCUUAUGCCCACAGCUGAACUAAGUCUCACAUUUCCUCCCAUCAUGUGAAGUCCACUCCAUCCUCCUCCAGCUCCCCCAGUCAUUUCAGUUUCACAGUGUAGUCAGGAAUAGUAUUUCUCAUGCCUGAGGUGCAGAGAAGCCCCCAGCCACGUGUGCCAGUCAGUUCAACACUGCACACCCAGCAUGCUGUGCCCAGGUCUGCUGAGGACUUCACUCCCACAUUUACAGGAAGUUCUCCUACACUAAAACCUCAUGGGUUCACAUUUCAGAGAUAAAAAACUUGCAGGAAAGAAGCAGGUCUUGCAUCUGGCUGGAAAGACAGACAAAUAAAAUAUUCCAUAGGAAAAGAAAAUAUGAGCAAUGGGAGCUAUUAAAAUUGCUGCCCAUUCCUGGAAACUUGUGACAUGGACCAAUUUCCAGCCUUCCUUCCUUCACUGCCGUAAUGUAACGGAGAGAUUUAAUAAACAUUUUUACAGCCAAAACAGUCCUAGUCUCCUUGAUUGUCUCCAUCACUGAGGCUCAGUAUUUGGUGAGUCAGAAUUCCCAGUAUGGGAAGUUGCAUAUUUACAAUAAGACGUGGCUUAACAAUACACUGCACUUUGGCCAACAGAGAAACUUCUCUGCUUUUAUCAACAGGAGGAUGCAGGCACGACUCUUCAUGUUCCCAGAGUUUUUAACUAAAAGGAAUUUAUGAAACAAAAAUCCUCACCCAACCUCACAGACCUUGCCUUUAGACAGACUUGGGCUGAAUAAUAACAGUGCAUCAACAAAUCAGAAACCCAGGAUAAACUACAAACUCUAAGGUAAACAGAAUUUUAUAUAAAAGCACCUGGGAGAACAGCCAACCUUCAGGCUGCAAUCAGAUUUUGUUGUUGCAUUAUUAUGGUUUCUUAACAGAGAAAUGGUGUUUACUUCAAAAAUAGAACUAAACCAAAAUCAAAACCUUUAAUAAUUUUUAUCAAUCCACAAUCUUACCAGACUGUCAUAUGACUUCUCUCUGAUUCAACAGGGUUUGAAAUCCACAAUAGGACAGAAAUCACUGAAAAUUAAGGGGUUAUUCUGGCAAUUCAUCAGGUUUCUUUAUAAAUUGCAAAGGGGAUUUACAGAAAGCAAAAGAGCUUUUGCAUGUGCCUUUUAUGAUACAACAGAAUGAAACAUUUGCACAUUGAUUAAAAACAUUUUAAUUGAUUUUUUAACGUUCCCACUGUCUAGGUUUCUCUAAAAGAAUCAAGAUGCAAUUAAUAUUUAAUUGCCAUCAAAGAGAAUUUUAAUUUCCUUAAGUAUAAAAUAUAUUUACAAAAAUAUACUACUGCUGUGCAUAAAAAUGCCCACAGCUGUGAGAAGGAAAAAAAUUGCCAAAAAUUUAAAAGACUAAAAUAUUUUUAAAGAUUUGGUUUUUAAAAAUCUGUCUAUGUAACAUAUUUGUAGAAUUUAGCAGGUCAGUGAUUUCAGGGUUCUCUGUUAUGAGCACACAAAUCUCCAGGGCAUUUCAGGGCUGAAGACUUGCUCUUUUGUAGUUGCUCAGCUCUGUGGAAACAGCCUUUGUUAGCUGAAGGGACACAGGGAUUUCUGGUCAGCAGAGACACACACACAGGAGCCAGCCUGUGCUGGCAUUUAUUGAUCUGCACACAAAAAAAAUUCCCUUCCAAAUCCCACCAUGCAUUUGAGACAAAAGCUCUCCCUGAGGACAGGAGAGGGGGAAGGAAGAGGCCUGAUCAAAGUCAUUUAGGCAAUGAACCCUGCCAGGGCAAAGGUGGGAUGUGAUCCCACAGGCCACCCUCACCCUGAGCUGCUUCUGCAAUCCCACAAAUGGCCUUGGUCUGCACGACCAUCACCCAGUGAUGGCCAGGGAAAGCUGUCAUCCACAGGGAGAUAACAGCCAGACCUAAAUGGAGGGAACUGGUGAGACCUUUAAACAUGCCAGAAAGGAAAAGGCAUCUGGGCAGAGUCCCUGUUCUGUUCAACAGCCACUCCAACACAAAGAAUGUGUCCUCAGAGCAGUCACUUAAAAACCUUCCUAAAGCUGUGGACAGACAGUUCAACACACUGGAACAGGAUGGGGACAUAUGUUGCCCAUGUCUUCCUCCACACAAGGCCUGAUUUCUCCUACAUCCAGCUUUAGUGCUCUGUCACACAGCAGCUCCCCAAGUGCAGCAGCCCUUUGCAAUCAUCACCUCCCCCACUGCAUGACACAUGUGCCACACAGAGUGUCCCAGGCCAAUUCCCAGCAAUGGAAAUGUUCCUCAGAUGCUGCCAUGGACACCACACUCUGGGCAUGGCAGUCACCAGGACAGGCAUGCUGUCCCAGGGCCUGGCCAACACAUCCAUCACCUUCAGCACACACAGAUGGCAGCCUUUCUGCACAUCAUUUACAGAGUAGGGAGAAUAUUCUUGCAUCCUCCUGUCACAAACGAAGCAUCCUCACCAGUGCCCAGGGGCAGUUCCUAUACAUUGGUGUGGAAGUUUUGAAGUUAAUGGGCAAAUGAGAGAUCAAAACAAGCAGUUAUUCCAUGGAGCAGGCACAGGGCACAAAGCAAGAGGGACAAAGCUGCUGACUUCCUGCCUGUAAAUCACACUGUGUACCUCACUAUCUGAGGGAAAAAUCUUCAAUGCCGAGACAAUCAGAAGGCAGAAAAAGCCUCUGUGGUGAACUGCAGGAUUCCAAAGUCCUGUGAUGUUUUGCAGUGAGGGUGUCAGGAAUGAGUUGA